CGGGGGGGGCAAGCGUUGUUCGGAAUUACUGGGCGUAAAGGGCGCGUAGGCGGCCUGCUAAGCCGGACGUGAAAUCCCCCGGCUCGAACCGGGGAACUGCGUCCGAUACUGGUGGGCUCGAAUCCGGGAGAGGGAUGUGGAAUUCCAGGUGUAGCGGUGAAAUGCGUAGAUAUCUGGAGGAACACCGGUGGCGAAGGCGGCAUCCUGGACCGGCAUUGACGCUGAGGCGCGAAAGCCAGGGGAGCAAACGGGAUUAGAUACCCCGGUAGUCCUGGCCCUAAACGAUGAGUGCUUGGUGUGGCGGGUAUCGAUCCCUGCCGUGCCGAAGCUAACGCAUUAAGCACUCCGCCGUGGGGAGUACGGUCGCAAGGCUAG
This 375-nucleotide ribosomal RNA is filed under the name uncultured organism. Its description in RNAcentral is "bacterial SSU rRNA". It matches the Rfam family "Bacterial small subunit ribosomal RNA", at positions 526 to 897 of the family's 1533-position model. The record is from RNAcentral.